ACUCGGGAGGCUGAGGCAGGAGAAUCACUUGAACCCGCGAGAUGGAAGUUGCAGUGAGCUGAGAUCGCACCGAGAUCACCUGGGUGACAGAGCGAGACUCAGGCUCAAAUAAAUAAAUAAAUAAAUAAAUAAAUAAAUAAAAUAAAAAGAAACUCUUGAUUAGUUUCCAUUUUUCUAGGGUUUUACAAAAUGGAAUCCUACAGCCAGGGACAGUGGCUCCCACCUGUAAUCCCAGCACUUUGGAAGUCUGAAGUGAGUAGAUCACCUGAGGUCAGGAGUUCAAGACCAGCCUGGCCAACAUGGCAAAACCCCAUCACUACUAAAAAUAUAAAAAUUGGCCAGGCUGUGAGAUCGUCUCCCAUAGCAUUGAGCUGAUUUCUGUGGUUCCUUAGGUCAUGGGGGUAGGGUGAGGCCUGCUUCAAUCUUACCCUUUUGGGGCAGAACUCUUGAAAUCUUGGCUUAAUCUGGGGAGUUCUCUCUUAGAUCCCACCUUGGACACCCUUGGAUUUGAUUAUGUUUUUCUUGCCCUUGGAGGCUGUCAAAACCAAAGGUAAGUAUGGCAAGAUCGGCUCAUGCGUGAAACUAAAAGCUGUCUCAGAGCCCAGUGGCCUGUUUUUGUUGCUACUUUCCAUUAAGGUCUGACUUGGUAAUUCCUUAUUAGCUUUCGGAUGCCUUUCUGAUGUUAUUUGUGUCUACCAUAUUCCUUAAAAGGCAGCAUUGCUUCGUUUUUAAAUGGUGGGUUUUUGGGAGGUUUUUCUGAGACGGAGUCUUGCUCUGUAGCCCCGGCUGGAGUGCCAGCAGCAUGAUCUUGGCUCACUGCAACCUCUGCCUCCUGGGUUCAAGCAAUCCUCCUGCCUCAGCCUUCCAAGUAGCUGGGAUUACAGAUCUGCACCACCACGCUCAACUAAUUUUUGUUUUUUUAGUAGAGACAGGGUUUCACCAUGUUGGCCAGACUGGUCUUGAAUUCCUGACCUCAAGUGAUCUGUCUGCCUCGGCCUCCCAAAGCACUGGGAUUACAGGCGUGAAGCAUCACACCCAGGUAAAUGAAGUCUGUUAUUGUUGUUGUUAUUGUUGUUUUGAGAUGAAGUCUCACCCUAUCACCAGGCUGGAGUGCAGUGGUGUGAUCUCGGCUCACUGCAACCU
RNAcentral lists this long non-coding RNA (1143 nucleotides) under Homo sapiens (human). Its description in RNAcentral is "HSALNT0235157". Lineage: Eukaryota; Metazoa; Chordata; Mammalia; Primates; Hominidae. The record is from RNAcentral.